RNAcentral lists this ribosomal RNA (365 nucleotides) under Plasmodium berghei. It matches the Rfam family "Bacterial large subunit ribosomal RNA", at positions 1747 to 2156 of the family's 2925-position model. Lineage: Eukaryota; Apicomplexa; Aconoidasida; Haemosporida; Plasmodiidae. The record is from RNAcentral.
UGGAUUGGAUACCCGGGAAACCGGCGCUACCAUUUAUAAGAAGUUAUUUACUGGAAGCGUCUGUAAGGUUACAACACAAGUCACUGAUAAUUCUGAUGAAUAGUUCAAGUUACUGACAUCUGCCCGGUAUCAAUGAUAAACGGCGGCUGUAUCAUAAACGGUCCUAAGGUAGCAAAAUUCCUUGUCGGGUAAUCUCCGUCCUGCAUGAACGGUGUAACGACUUCCCCAUUGUCGCUAGUGUGAGACUCCUAAUAAAUAGAAUUAUCCAUGAAUAUGUGGAAUCAUACGGCCCGACGGUAAGACCCUGAGCACCUUAACUUCCCUAAAAGUUCUUAUGUGUUGGCAUGGUUACGAGAUUUAAGGAU